Molecule: transfer RNA, 57 nt
Filed under: Loxodonta africana (African savanna elephant)
Lineage: Eukaryota; Metazoa; Chordata; Mammalia; Proboscidea; Elephantidae
Rfam family: tRNA
About the family: Transfer RNA (tRNA) molecules are approximately 80 nucleotides in length. Their secondary structure includes four short double-helical elements and three loops (D, anti-codon, and T loops).
Source: Rfam by way of RNAcentral
UGGCAUAGUGGUUAAGAGUUUGGUUGUUAAUCAAAAGGUCGGUGGUUUGAAUCCACC